Molecule: transfer RNA, 73 nt
Filed under: Vibrio anguillarum
Lineage: Bacteria; Pseudomonadati; Pseudomonadota; Gammaproteobacteria; Vibrionales; Vibrionaceae
Description: tRNA-MetCAT
Rfam family: tRNA
About the family: Transfer RNA (tRNA) molecules are approximately 80 nucleotides in length. Their secondary structure includes four short double-helical elements and three loops (D, anti-codon, and T loops).
Source: RNAcentral
GCGGGGUGGAGCAGCUUGGUAGCUCGUCGGGCUCAUAACCCGAAGGUCGUUGGUUCAAAUCCAGCCCCCGCAA